Molecule: non-coding RNA, 91 nt
Organism: Mycena polygramma
Lineage: Eukaryota; Fungi; Basidiomycota; Agaricomycetes; Agaricales; Mycenaceae
Source: the annotation of a GenBank genome assembly
GUCUUUGUAGCUUAGCGGUCAAGCGCUCCUUCAAAGUACCGACUUGCAGUUCUUUAAAGGAGAGACGAGAGUUCCAGCCCCGCUAGAGACA